UAGGGAAUCUUCCACAAUGGGCGAAAGCCUGAUGGAGCAACGCCGCGUGUGUGAUGAAGGGUUUCGGCUCGUAAAACACUGUUGUAAGAGAAGAAUGACAUUGAGAGUAACUGUUCAAUGUGUGACGGUAUCUUGCCAGAACGGAACGGCUAAAUACGUGCCAC
RNAcentral lists this ribosomal RNA (164 nucleotides) under uncultured bacterium. Its description in RNAcentral is "partial 16S rRNA". It matches the Rfam family "Bacterial small subunit ribosomal RNA", at positions 355 to 511 of the family's 1533-position model. The record is from RNAcentral.